RNAcentral lists this ribosomal RNA (2825 nucleotides) under human gut metagenome. Its description in RNAcentral is "bacterial LSU rRNA". It matches the Rfam family "Bacterial large subunit ribosomal RNA". The record is from RNAcentral.
UAAAGCAAAGAAGAGCGCAGAGUGAAUGCCUUGGCAUUGGGAGCCGAAGAAGGACGCGGUUAACUGCGAUAAGCUGCGGGGAGCUGUAAGCAAGCUUUGAUCCGCAGAUUUCCGAAUGGAGCAAUCCGCAUGAAGUAGUUCAUGCAUCCAUACGUGAAUUCAUAGCGUAUGGAGGGGAACCGCCUGAACUGAAACAUCUAAGUAGGGCGAGGAAGAGAAAUCAACCGAGAUUCCGUAAGUAGUGGCGAGCGAACGCGGAAGAGGCCAAACCGAGAGAAGAAAUUCUUUCGGGGUUCGGACUGCAUUUAGCAUUCUUAAUCUUUAGUCGAACAGUCUGGGAAGGCUGACGAGAAAGUGUGAGAGUCACGUAGACGAAAAGGAGAAAGAGCGAGCAGAAUCCAGAGUACCGCGGGGCACGUGAAAUCCCGUGGGAAGAUGGGGGGACCACCCUCCAAGCCUAAAUACUACCCAAUGACCGAUAGCGUAAAGUACUGUGAAGGAACGGUGAAAAGAACCCCGGGAGGGGAGUGAAAAGAACCUGAAACUCUGUGCUUACAAGCACAUAGAGCACGUCAAAGUGUGAUAUGGUACCUUUUGUAGAAUGGUCCGGCGAGUUAUGGUAUGCAGCGUGGUUAAGGACUUGAGGUCUGAAGCCGAAGCGAGAGCGAGUCUGACAAGGGCGAGAAGUUGUAUGCCAUAGACCCGAAACCGGGUGACCUAGCCAUGUCCAGGCUGAAGUGGAGGUAAAACUCCAUGGAGGGCCGAACCGACCUCCGUUGAAAAGGCGGCGGAUGAGAUGUGGCUAGCGGAGAAAUUCCAAUCGAACCCGGAUAUAGCUGGUUCUCCCCGAAAUAGCUUUAGGGCUAGCGUUGUAUUAGAUUACCGGAGGUAAAGCACUGAAUGGGCUAGGGGCUGAGAAGUUACUGAACCCUAUCAAACUAAGAAUGCCGGAUAAUUGAUGUACAGCAGUCAGACUAUGUGAGAUAAGUCUCAUAGUCAAAAGGGAAACAGCCCAGACCCACAGCUAAGGUCCCAAAAUGGAUUUAAGUGGAAAAGGAUGUGGAAUUGCACAGACAACCAGGAUGUUGGCUUAGAAGCAGCCAUACAUUAAAAGAGUGCGUAAUAGCUCACUGGUCGAGUGACUCUGCGCCGAAAAUUCAACGGGGCUAAAAUUCAUACCGAAGCUUGGGCUUGACAGAAAUGUCAGGGGUAGGGGAGCGUCGUAUAUGAGGUGAAGUCAUAGCGGAAGCGGUGGUGGAUUGUAUACGAGUGAGAAUGCCGGAAUGAGUAGCGAGAAUUAUGUGAGAAUCAUAAUGGCCGAAAGUCUAAGGUUUCCUGAGGAAGGUUCGUCCGCUCAGGGUUAGCCGGGAGCUAAGGUGAGGCGGAAACGCGUAGCCGAUGCACAUACGGUAGAAAUUCCGUAGCCUCCGAAAAUUUAAACACAGGGACACUUUUGAAGGGCUGAGCCGGGCGUUGGUUGCCCCGGUUGUAAGGGACGCGAUUGAGCGGAAGUCAGUUUGGAGAGAGGCGAGAAAAGCUGUGUGGAUAUGGAAGGAGCCCGUACCGCAAACCGACACAGGUAGACAGGAAGAAGAUUCUAAGGCCAGCGGGAGAAAGGUUGUUAAGGAACUCGGCAAGUUGACCCCGUAACUUCGGGAGAAGGGGUGCUUACGAAGGUAAGCCGCAGAGAAUAGGCCCAAGCGACUGUUUAGCAAAAACACAGCUCUAUGCUAAAUCGAAAGAUGACGUAUAUGGGGUGACACCUGCCCGGUGCUGGAAGGUUAAGAGGAGAUGUGAGAGCAUUGAAUUGAAGCCCCAGUAAACGGCGGCCGUAACUAUAACGGUCCUAAGGUAGCGAAAUUCCUUGUCAGGUAAGUUCUGACCCGCACGAAUGGUGUAACGAUUUGGGCACUGUCUCAACAACCUACCCGGCGAAAUUGUAGUACCGGUGAAGAUGCCGGUUACCUGCGACUAGACGGAAAGACCCCAUGGAGCUUCACUGCAGCUUAAUAUUGAAUUUUGGUAUUUCAUGUACAGGAUAGGUGGGAGACUGGGAAAUACAGGCGUCAGCUUGUGUGGAGUCGUUGUUGGGAUACCACUCUUGAAGUGCUGAAAUUCUAACCUGUGGCCUUGAAUCAGGUCAGGGGACAUUGUUAGGCGGGCAGUUUGACUGGGGCGGUCGCCUCCUAAAAGGUAACGGAGGCGCUCAAAGGUUCGCUCAGCAUGGACGGAAACCAUGCCAGAGAGUGUAAACGCAAAAGCGAGCCUAACUGCGAGACUGACGGGUCGAGCAGUAACGAAAGUUGGAGUUAGUGAUCCGGCGGUAUGUGAGUGGAAAUGCCGUCGCUCAACGGAUAAAAGCUACCCUGGGGAUAACAGGCUGAUCUCCCCCAAGAGUCCACAUCGACGGGGAGGUUUGGCACCUCGAUGUCGGCUCAUCGCAUCCUGGGGCUGUAUUCGGUCCCAAGGGUUUGGCUGUUCGCCAAUUAAAGCGGUACGCGAGCUGGGUUCAGAACGUCGUGAGACAGUUCGGUCCCUAUCUGUCGUGGGCGUUGGAGAUUUGAAAGGAGCUGUCCCUAGUACGAGAGGACCGGGAUGGACGCACCUCUGGUGCACCAGUUGUCACGCCAGUGGCACAGCUGGGCAGCUAUGUGCGGAUCGGAUAAACGCUGAAAGCAUCUAAGCGUGAAGCCGGCCUUAAGAUAAGAUAUCCCACUGAGAUAAUCAGGUAAGACCCCUUGAAGACUACAAGGUUGAUAGGCUCAAAGUGUAAGCACGGUGACGUGUUCAGCUAGCGAGUACUAAUCGGUCGAGGGCUUGACCAC